GUAAGGCGGGCUCGGGACCAGACAAUACAAACCCUUCCUGCUCCUGUCUAUAUCUUCGUAUUUAUUUAAGAUUUUUACAGCUAUUCCUGCAUAUGUAAUAAAAAUAAUUUUUUAAUGACGUUUUAGUUUUAAAAGACAGCCUUUUAUCGUCAGCUAUAGCUAUAAAAACCCAUGCAUAGCUAUCUUCUUCUCCUUGACCUUCGACCAAAGAUCUUCCAAAGCUUUGAGCCUAUUGUUGCAUGUGGACGAAAACGAGCUCCCAAAUCCUUAUUAGUGGCUUCAAUCGGAUUUUGCAGGUGCUGAGUUCACAAGGUUGUUGAAGCUGCGUCUCUGCUGCUUUGAGAAGGCUGCCCUUCGUCUUCCAUAGUGGCCAUUUGUGCUUUGCCUGGCUUGAUGCUUCCUUGCUCCAAAGCGUAAGUGGUUCCGUUCUCCCUGGGGUGCUCUGCCCAUUUCUCUAAAAAAAGUCCUACUCUUGCCCUGUGGUGACUCAUGUCUUCACCUCCCGUGGCACCUCCCAAGUUGCAUUGAGGCUGCCAGCAACUUCUACCAAGGGCCAUUCUCCCUGUCUCUGUUAGUUCGUUGUAGUUUUCGGUUUCUGACCCAAUCAAUCCAAAUGCUCGAGUAUGAUCAUUCACUCCAGCUUCUUUACUCUCCCCUGGUUCAACACCCAUUGUCGCAGGUGGAUUGACUAUCCACUGCCUCUGUAAUCCAUUUUUCGAUGCCAACGCUGCCAGUUGGUGAGCUAAGUUGUUUUCGUCUCUUGGAGUCCAGGUAACUCCCACAUCUGGAGCCUCAUUCAGCAGAUGGAGAAUGUCUCUGAUGAUUGCGUCUGCCUUUGUCAAAGAUGUUUUUGCCUUAAUUGCUUGAACCAGAGUCCCUGGCUAUCACUGCUGAAGCUGCCAUGCCUGUUUUCCUGUGAAAAGUCGCAUCAGUGUUCACCUUUAACGAAUCCUUGGGCGGAUGCCUCUAGGUAAUUUCUGGCUGAAAUUGAGGGAGCUGAGCAAAAAUCUGAGUUAGGCUGAAAAAGGACUGCUGAUGUUGUUGGAUCCUGACCUCCCUGCACUCGGAAUGGAUUUUUUAGAGCUACAGGAGUCCAAUUGGCGCGCUCUCAACGGCGUUGGAAAGUAGACAUCCAGGGCUUUCCAGCAAUAUAUAAUAGUCCAUACUUUGCGCGUAGAUAGACGACGUAACUUGGCGUUGAACGCCAAGUACAUGCUGCUGUCUGGAGUUAAACGCCAGAAACACGUCAU
This is a long non-coding RNA of Arachis duranensis, 1250 nucleotides long. RefSeq lists it as uncharacterized. NCBI's taxonomy places the organism in Eukaryota, Viridiplantae, Streptophyta, Magnoliopsida, Fabales, Fabaceae. The record is from RefSeq and is a predicted model, not a curated record. The transcript is spliced from 4 exons.